Molecule: long non-coding RNA, 3417 nt
Filed under: Sorghum bicolor (sorghum)
Lineage: Eukaryota; Viridiplantae; Streptophyta; Magnoliopsida; Poales; Poaceae
Description: long non-coding RNA (SBIC_LNC003363)
Source: RNAcentral
UGGGUUAGGGUAAACUGUUAAGAUUUAAACCUACUCAUAUUACCUUCCACCAUAGGGCUUGCAACCGUCACUUGUGUCUUGAGCAGUUAAAAGAUAGAACGGUCUAGUCAAGCGCCAUGUCUCUUGUUCUUCGAUUAACUAUAGCUCUGGAGUUUUUGUAGAUUUUUAAAUAAAACUUAGAGAUUCCUUGUAUGACUCUCUCUAGUCUCUCUUUUGUGGUAUUUUUGGAUCCUUACCAAGGCAGUAAUGGUGUAUGCCUUCUCUCAAAGUAUGUGGUAUUUUUGGUAUGAGGCAUAGUGACAUUGCCUUCUCUCUCAUCCUACUCUAAUAAGGUUUUUGAUAUCUGGAGCUCAUAGGUGGGAGACAGCUAAUACAUACUUACAAGACAUUUAUUGCAUAGUCAAACCAUGGAUCCCGAAGAACAAGUCAAUAAGUCAAACCAAGAUGUGCAUGUGUGGCGAAUGAAUGGUGUAUGAUGAUGAUAACAAUGGUGAAAGUCUAAUUCUACUUGUGCUCUUUUGAGGGAUACAUACCUUUCUUACUCUUUUGAAACUUUUUGAGGAGAAUGAGAUACUCUAUAUUUUCUUUUUCUUUUCUCUCAUGUGGGUAUCUUGUACCCCUAAUUCUACUGUCGAACACUUGUCCAUUUUUACCUCUCGUCUCACUUUUUCUUUUCUUUCGAGGUUCCGGGCACUUGCCCCUUUUUAUUUCCUCGUAUAUUUUUUUCUCCUCUUUUUUUAGAGCACUCAUCUCCUAAAAUAAUAUAGCAGGUGGUACUAACCGAAAUAACUUGAGCAUUUAUUUCACAGGGGAAAACAGAAAUAGGAGAAUGUUUUUGGCUAUUCUCUCCCGGAUUAGGAGUAGAAUAUUUUUGGGUGGUUCUGGAGAUGGAAAUGGGUGGAUAUAUGUGGAUGCGUACUUCCGGAGUAGAAGCAGCAUGUGUGAGUGAACGUGCAAGUGAAUCUUGAUUUUAACCACAUGACAAGCUCCUAAGGGUCUACACAGCUUGACCACACUCAAUGCUCAUAAGCAGUAAAAAGUAAAUGUGUGGCUCAAAGUCUAGCAAGCAUGUAUAUAUAGCUGUGGUAGGAAUUUAAACUCUGAUCAUACAGGAACUCGUCACGUGAUAUUUUAAAGAUUUUUAAAGAUAAAAUUCUUCAGAAUUCUAGCAUCUCUAGGAACAGAUAAAUAGCAGCUCAACUUUUCCAUAUCAAGUACUCUUCCCACAAGUUUAGGUUUAGAGCAAAUCUUAAUUAAUAACAGUCAUGCCUAAAUUUGAGAGAGAUUUCAAUUUUGAGAACUAGUCAUGGCAGAGCAACUAUUCAUCAUUUCCAUGUGAGAGCUUAUCAUGAGGGUUCAUAGCAAACUUUAUUUAUUUAUUUAGCAAACUAAGCAAAGAUAUAUAUAUAUAUAUAUAUAUAUAAGAAUAAAUCUUUAUUUGGGUUUUCAUGAUUAUGCAUCUUUUUAUUAUUUGAGUAAAGUAUAAACGUGAGUAGAAUACUUAGCUGGAUAAAUGGGGGUUGCUCUCCCCCAAGCUGGAUUUUGACACAAUUUCUUCUGAUGUAGCUAGCAGGUGGCAGAGGUGUAUUUGAAAGUCGGCAGCACCUUGACAGCGAUUAGAAUGUCCUCCGUCUGCUAGUUUUCUUUGAUCCUUGAAUCCUGUGGAUCUCAAAUAGACAACAAAGCUUUGUGGAACUGGUUAAGUGUUAGCAUAAAUAUCUAGCCUUUAUCAUGUUGAGCCUCCUCAAUAAAUGUUACUCUCUUUAGUAGGAUCAUAAAUUUAUUUUUAUAAUUUUAUUUUUAUAGGACAAGAAUAUAUUUAUUUUAUUUUUACGCCACCACAGUGAAUGUACUCAUGGGUUUUAUGCCAUGAGCAUACUCACAUGGGGCUUACUAUUUUUAACAUUUUUAUUUUCUUUUCAAGAUGAUAUGAACCUGAUUAACUAAGAAAACUAUUUUAACUAAUUGAAAGAAAAAAGGAUAACUACGAAGUUUACCUCUUGGCAAGACGUUCGGUGUUUUUAAGUCCUCUGAACGGGACUCUCCGUUUUCUCAGUCGUCCUGAGAUUCACUGGAUUGCGUAGUCGGUGGUUCUGGCGGCGCCUCCUCUUCGUGUAUAACUAUCUUCUCUCUCCACACCUGACUUGGUGCUACGGUCUCCUCAGGACAGUUCUGUUCAAGCUGUAUGUCUUCAGACCUUACAACUUCUCCUUCAUAGUCUGCUAUCUGUCCUUGAUGAUUUGCCUCCUCUGGUUGCGGUUGCGUCGUCUUCUCAGAGGGGAAGUGCAUAUGGACUUCUCCAGUUUCAAUGUAGAUGAUUGUUUUAGCGGUGCUGAGGAAUGGUCUCCCAAGGAUGAUGGGUGGAUCGUACUUGUCUUUUCCCAUGUCAAUAACCUAAAAAUCCUUUUUGGUCAGGAACGGUGACUUAAGUCGACGAUCUUGACCUCCUUGAACUACAGUGACCAUCUUAGCUGACUCGGUCCACAUUUGCUUGUUCCAGUUCCUCCAGUUGGUCCUCUUCCUUGGUUCAUGUCGGGAUUGCUUUGGGAUUUAUGUAGUCUUGUUCUUGAAGGAAAACGUCUCCUUUCUCCCUUUAAUGUAGAAACUGAUCUUGGUAGCACUAGCGUAGAUGACAGCUCCUGAGUUGUUCAGGAAUGGCCUCCCUAGGAUGAUGGGUGCUCUCUCAUCAGUACUAGUCUCUAUCACCACGAAGUCUGCUGGGGCGUACAAGGUACCAACUCGGAUGCAGAGGUUCUUCAAUAUUCCCUUUGGGAAACUUAGUGUCCGAUCUGCAAGCUUGGGCAUAAUAUUGACGCUGGAGCCAAAGUCGCAGAGUGCUUCUGGGAAGUUCACCAUGCCGAUGGAGAUCGGGAUGACGGUGCGUCCUGGAUCGCCUCUCUUGACCGGCAGAAGGUCAGUAAUUACUUCCACAACGGGGUUACUCCAGUAGUUACAUCCUCAAGCAUCUCAGGGCAGUGAUUGCCUGAGUGUCCAGUAUCUCUAGUGUGUUUGUGUUCGUAGAUCGAGGUUCUUCACUUGGUGGAGUCUAGGAGUUGUAAAACUCCUUCAUAUUUUGCUCGUAGUGUACCUGCUCAUAGAGACAAGGCAGAGAUCAAGUGCAUGGGCCCUGUUGGUGGAAAACACCAACAGAACCAAAAGUGUAUUUGUUCUUCUCUAACCUUAAGCAUAGUGAGCAAGACAAAGUUGAAGGAUAAUAAGAUCAUGAGUGUAGCAUUUAAAGCAUUUGUCAGAUCAGAUCGCUCAACCAAAUGGGAAGAUAAUCUAUCUAUACUUAUGUUUUUUAUAUCUUCCAAAGAUUGAGUGUGCAACAUUUUAGCUCAUAUGAUUAGGAGUGUAGAAUCACAAAGGUGGAAGGACUAAACAUGUUGAAUUGAUUGGGUUGGUUAAUUUAGAGUU